This 503-nucleotide long non-coding RNA is filed under the name Malus domestica (apple). Its description in RNAcentral is "long non-coding RNA (MDOM_LNC006589)". The record is from RNAcentral. Lineage: Eukaryota; Viridiplantae; Streptophyta; Magnoliopsida; Rosales; Rosaceae.
AUUAUGGUGUGUAUUUAUAGGUAGAGAGGAGCCUAAAUUAUGUGAUUCAAAGAGGAAAUCUGGGAUUUGCUCUUACGACAACCAUGAAUUUGAUAUCCAAUUGUAUGAUAAUUUGUUGCCUAGAUUGACGUUUGUUUCCUUUUUCUUGGAUUCUCAGUGAUUCUUCCACCAACAUAUAAAUAUAGCAAGAUUCUCUCUCCUUCAAAUCUCCUUCUGCUUCGGUCCCUUCUUAUUUGAAGGUGUUUACUUUUUUGUAGAAAUAAAGAAAAAGAGGAAAGUGAAAGAGUAGGAGAAUCAAGACGCGGAGAUAUGGAAGGAUAGGAAUUCUAAUCCUAUAUAAAUUUUCAAGUUGACUUAUCAAAUGAUUAAUUAACGAGUAGGGGAUUUUGCAUGGAUUUGUCCCAAGAUUACGGUUUGCUUCGUGAUGAGUCAAUGCGUGUGUGAGUUUCUCUUUAUUAUAUUACUGGUAAUUAGUCUGAUUUUGAAGAUUGGGAGGAUUGAUU